Orbilia ellipsospora is the source of this 97-nucleotide non-coding RNA. NCBI's taxonomy places the organism in Eukaryota, Fungi, Ascomycota, Orbiliomycetes, Orbiliales, Orbiliaceae. The record is from the annotation of a GenBank genome assembly.
GACUGGUUGGCGCAACGGUAGCGCGUUCGACUCCAGACAGUUCUUAAUUUGGCUGUUAGCAAUCGAAAGGCUAGGCGUUCAAAUCGCCUACUGGUCA